UACAGAGGGGGCAAGCGUUGUUCGGAAUUACUGGGCGUAAAGGGCGCGUAGGCGGCCUUCUAAGUCGAACGUGAAAUCCCUGGGCUCAACCCAGGAACUGCGUCCGAUACUGGAAGGCUUGAAUCCGGGAGAGGGAUGCGGAAUUCCAGGUGUAGCGGUGAAAUGCGUAGAUAUCUGGAGGAACACCGGUGGCGAAGGCGGCAUCCUGGACCAAUUCUGACGCUGAGUGAGCGAAAGCCAGGGGAGCAAACGGG
Molecule: ribosomal RNA, 254 nt
Filed under: uncultured bacterium
Lineage: Bacteria
Description: partial 16S ribosomal RNA
Rfam family: Bacterial small subunit ribosomal RNA
Source: RNAcentral